UAGUUCUGUAGGCUAAGUUAGGCUGUCAGUUUGUGGUGCUGGAGGUUUUCUUUAACAGAGCUAGUUG
Molecule: transfer RNA, 67 nt
Filed under: Schistosoma turkestanicum
Lineage: Eukaryota; Metazoa; Platyhelminthes; Trematoda; Strigeidida; Schistosomatidae
Description: tRNA-His
Source: RNAcentral